ACAGAUGGCUGAAACUCAGUCUAGAGUUUCUGAUUCAGGAGGCCUGGGGUGGCAUGAGAAUUUGCAUUUCUCAUAGGUUCCCAGGUGAUGCUGAUGCUGCUAGUCAGGGGAUCACACUUUGAUAACCCUUUAAGCCAUUUUAACUUUCUUAUCUCAUAAUUUAAUUUGGUGGGAUUCAACCAUCAUGAGGCAUGUAUAUCCCCUGGCUUAGAAGAAGCCAGAGGUGCAUGGGUGGUUCAGUGGUAGAAUUCUAGAAGAAGCCAGAGUUUAGUAAGUUCGUGAUAGGUUGGUUAUUUUUCCAAUCCAGAUUUAUUUCAAGUCAAAGAACUGCAUACAGAAAAGCAUGGUUGAUGAAAUGGUUCGAUGCUUGAAGAUGUCAGACUGUAGAAUCUCUACAGGACAGAUCUGGACAUGUGUGGAUGGGUUUACCUAAGGUGAGGCUCACCCAUGGAAGCAACAGUGGCAAGCCCCAGCAAAUGGGAAUCACGGAGUCCAAACACAGCCUCCGAGGAACAGCAACUCUCCAUGACAAGUGGCAGAAACCCCAGGGGUUCCAAGGAUGUACCCCUUGGCCAACAAGUGGGAAAGUGCUAGACUCCCAUAUCUGUAUCUGCUUCUCUACUCUUCAUCACCUCCAAAUCUCAAAUGUAAGUAGAACAGCUCAUAUUCAUUCAUUUUAUAUUGGAAUUUUCCAUAUAAUUUUAUUUGAAGAAAGUCCUGGUACUUAAAAAGAAUUUGAAUAUUGUUACUUUAGACAGUGAUGCCCAAGCAGGGCCAAUUCUAAUAUGAAUAUUCUACAUAUUACACUUAAUAAUUACAUUUUGAGGGAGUUAGAUAUGGCUGCAAUAUGGCCAAAAGCAGGAAAUAUGAUUAGAAUGGUUCUAAUUCUAGACUCUGAUUCCUGCUAGCCUGUUAUUGAUGGAGGAGAUUUCUCUGUCAUGGACCUAUUUAUUAGGGCUGAGGCAUUUUAACAAGUAUUAAUUUAAUUUAAUUUAUCCAUUUAAUCAGUGGACUGUUAGCAUCGCUAUAGUUGUACUUUCCUAAGUUUGCUUCUUGACCUACCUUCUUAUGGUAACAAAACCCCUAUUUCUAGUGGGGAGCCCAUUAUAAAUGCUUUAGAGUGGGUAUAUGACCCCAGGCUGACUAAUCAGAACACAAUGCACUUGGACAUUGUAAAUGAUUCAGGGAUAAUACAAUAUUAAGCUCCACCAAUCAGAGCCCAGCCUGGGGUUUUUACUGGAAUUAUUGGGACCAUUAGCUGUAAGGAUGAGGUAAAUGUAGAGCUGUUGGUGGUCCUGUUUGCCAUUAUAUAGGGAGGCAGUGCCUUCAAAUGAAACCAAGACCAAGAAGGAAUUGCUAAGAAAUGGAGAUAUCUCUCUGAAGACAGUGUCGAAGCUGUUGGAUCCAGGUAUCCCUGGAGUCAAUGUGCUCCUGAACUUCCCAUCUAUGUAAAUUCCCUUUGCGUUACAUUUAUCUCUUAUUGCCGAGUGUUACAGCCCAAGUGCUGUGUGAUUCUUUUUUUCCUCUUUUUAUUGUUUAUUAAGGCCAUAUAUGUGGCAUAUGGAAGUUCCCAGCUAGGGGCUGAAUCGAAGCUGCAGCUGCCAGCCUACGCCAUAGCCAUGGCAAUGCCAGAUCCAAACUGUGUCUGAGACUUAUACCACAGCUCACGGCAACACUAGAUCCUUAACCCAUUGAGCAAGGCAGGGAUUGAACCUUCAUCCUCAUGGAUACUUGUCGGGUUCAUUACUACUGAGCCACAACAGGAGGUCCCAUUGUGUGAGUCUUGCUGAUGGAUGUUCUGAACAGGGCUGUUGGGGUAAGAGAAAAACAUAGGGCUUUUCCUAAGGAAGGAGAUAAUAUUGAGAGAGGCUACAGGGCUGGGCAGGCAGCUUGAAGGCAUUGGAUACCUGAUGGGGACAGGAGGAGUCAGUCAUGAGAGAGGAAGGAGGUGGGAUGAAAACUCCCUCUGUUACCCUGAGAUGUGAAUACUCAUCCUUUGAAUUCCUCACUCCUGGGGAUCUAAGCCCUUGGAGGAGUUUUAUUUCCAUUUCCAUGUACGUCACUGAAGACCCAUGUAACAUAUUAUCAGAAAAAUCUUGUAGGAGUCAAUGUUUUGGGCUCUGAGCAACAGCUCGGGUGGUAAAUGGAGAGAAGUGUGUCCUCUGGGCCCAUCUGAGGAGCUGACAGAAUCAGUGUUACCUGGAGCAGAAUUGAUGACAUAAGAGUAAUGGAGCUUGGAGGAAACUGCAAGUAGGAAAGUGGUGAUACUGUUCCUGGAUCCGUGAGAGGCAACUCCCAGGGGCAGCAGAAUAUCCAAUGAACCAAUGUCACCAAAUUCAGAAGUCUCUUCACAUUGUGAUCCAUGCCAAACUUUCAGAUCUGGCUAGUUGAUUAAAUUAUCCCUGUGCUAAAACAAGACAACAUAUAGUCACCAACAUUCAGCAUGUUUUGGGCAUUUCUAAAGCUUACAGGUUGACUUAGUUUUGUUUCUGACUUAUGCACCCUGUGUAUGUUAAAACAAUUAAAAAUCAGCCUCCUCUCCCCUACUAAAUCCCUGACCCCCUCCUUAUUUUCCCAAUAAGUCAGUACUAUAAACCAGUUUGUACACCUCUGCCUAAAAUUUCUAUUCACCUACUGCCAUUUUACAGUCCUGAGCUUGAGCAAUGGUAUCAAGUUACAGGCAGAGUAUGUGUUUCCUCCAUGGUUAACCAUUGUUCCUGACUUGCUAUUUCUGAGAGAGUGGCCAAGGUGGUACAUCAUACAUCAUCUGAAGAGGGGGCUAGGCACAGCAGCUGGCUCUUUACUGAGGUCAUCACUUAUUUCCAUGGCUCCCAGCUUCAAUAAGAUCUUAGGGAAGGAUAACUGGGAAUGGAAGAAAUGUUGCAACUGAAAUAAAUGCAAAUAAAAAUCUGCAGGAUCACCUAUGCAGGAGCAGGGGGUGUAAACAAAAAUGGAAAACUUGAUGCUUUCAGCUAAUAGACUGGUUCUUUGUAGGAGGGUAAUUCCAUUGUUAGAAACUGCCUAUUGUCACAAUCCUGAUACGGUAACGACUUCUUUUAUUCCCUCUGAAGCUGAAUGUAUCAGAGACCAAAAAUAUCCUUAGCAUAAAUCAUUCCUUUUCCAGCAUUUGACAGCCACUGUCUCAAACUCAAUUAGUCAUCAGGCACAACAAGAGCCGAGAUCAUCACAGAUUCACAUGUGUUUAAUGGAUAAAGCACGACUAGGGAGACAUUUCCUGUUUAAUCUCUGCUGUUCGAUGUUCAUUAGUAGAUCACAUGGCUAUUAAAAGAAAUAGGACAGUAGAAGUUUCUUUGGGGCAGGAUUAAGCAGAUGUGUUUUAUUUAAAAUGUGGAAUGAAUUUUAUCCCAGAGAGAUGUAAGAGAGACAGAGCAAAUGAAAGAGGCACUGGAGGAUACAAAGGGUAUUUAAUCAGAAAGCUUGUCUCAAUUGCUUGGGUGAGAACACUUCCCACCAGGACGGAUAUUUCUGAACAUUGGAAACUGAACCAUAGUACAAAACCAGACCUCUAGGGUAUCAAAAAGCUGACUCAGACUCUUCUAGAAAAAGUGCUGAGCAAGAGACAUGGUUUCAUUGAUAUUAGAAAACUGAAAUUGCCUGGAUCAUUUCUAUAAAUCUUAUGUAGCAAUUUUCUAGGCAGUGAUGUCUCACUACCUGUGCCUUCUUUCUUGGAGUAAAAAUGCUGAUUAUCAUUUUAUUAUAUCAAAUGGGGUUUAUUGGUGGUUUCCUAAUGUAGGUACUACUGAUUAGUUCUAGGCUGGAGAUGUAAGUACAAAUCAAGAUUAGGAAUCAGUUUUAAAAUAGUACCUUUCUUUUAAAUAGUUCAAAGUAUUUACCUCAAUCCUUCCAGUUUCUUUGCUGGUCCGGGUAUACCAUGUCUGUUUUUUUCUUUUAUUUUUUUAAAGUUGGAAAUCACGGGGCCUUUUUUAUUCUUUAAGAACCGCACCUGUGGCAUAUGGAAGUUCCCUGGCUAGGGGGUCAAAUCCGAGCUGUAGCUUCUGGCCUACACCAUAGUCACAGCAACGUGGGAUCUGAGCUGUGUCUGUGACCUACACCACAGUUCAUGGCAAUGCUGGAUCCUUAACCCACUGAGUGAGGCCAGGGAUCGAUCCCAUAUCCUCAUGAAUAUUAGUCGGGCUCAUUACCACUGAGCCACAAUGGGAACUUUCUAUGGGGCCUAUUUUUAAACACAGUCAAAGGGCAAUGUUGGGUAGAAUGAUGCUCUUAGGAUCAUAACAAUCUUCCUCAUGGGUUUAUGAAGUGGUUCUGAGGGGUCCAAGUAUCCUAAGAGGUGGGCAAGGGCAGGGAUUACCCUUAUUAUAAUAUGGAAACAUGGAGACACCCAAGGGGUUAAAUAUUUUGUAUCAGAUUCUAGACUGCCUGAAUCUCAGGCCUGAUUCCCUAUAGGAGAGGCCAAUAUUGCCCAGCUAAGUAGCUGGGGAGUGCAUUGGGUUUUAAAGGGUCAAGGCUAGAGCUGUGAUUUCCUAUUAAAGCUCAUGGAAGCCCAAAAGACCAGCCAGACAAAGUUCUGUAGCUAAAAUCUUGAUAAUGGAAGAGGUUUAAAUAUGUCUAUGGGGACUAAAGGCAGGGACUAAAAGCAGAAUUCAGAGACAAAAGUCAACAGUUGGAAGAUGGAUUUCAGUAUUGUACACUGGAAAUGCCCAGGGUCCCAGAUAAUUGUCUGAAACUGUAGCUGGGUGGAACUUGUGUGGUAGGACUUACCAAAGGACCAGGGCUGGAUCUCCAUGAGGUACAUCCUUGGUGAGUCCCUAAUCCUACAGAAUUUUAUGUGGCUACCUAAACUCAGGAAGACUUUCCACUUGAAGUCUAAUGAGUUAAGGUACAAUAAGAAAACCAGAAAGUGGAAUUAAUCGUCCUUCUUGGUUCUUAUAUUUUUAAGUAUGGCAAAAGGAAGAAAUGAUAAAAAAAGGACUUGGUGGAGUUCCAUGGUGGCUCAGCAGGUUAAGGAUCCAGUGUUGUCAGUGCUGUGGCUUGGUUCAUCGCUGUGGCGUGGGUUCAGUCCCUGGCCCCAGGAAUUUCUACUUGCCAUGGACACAGCCAAAAAAGUAUUACUUGGCAUAUCUAAUUGAUUUUCUUUUUUUAAAAAAAUUCUGGAGUUCCCGUCAUGGCGCAGUGGUUAACGAAUCCGACUAGGAACCAUGAGGUUGCGGGUUCGGUCCCUGCCCUUGCUCAGUGGGUUAACGAUCCGGCGUUGCCGUGAGCUGUGGUGUAGGUU
RNAcentral lists this long non-coding RNA (5254 nucleotides) under Sus scrofa (pig). RNAcentral's name for it is "lncRNA (ENSSSCG00065030510.1)". Lineage: Eukaryota; Metazoa; Chordata; Mammalia; Artiodactyla; Suidae. The record is from RNAcentral.